UUGUUGCUUUUGCUCCAAGGUGGUACCAAACGAGGAAAAACAAGACUGAAGUGCGGGAGGACUCGGUCCUCCACUUAGGUUCUUUUGCUUAUAGCUUAUCGGGAGGAGUUUGUGCCUCCCAUGGUUUGUAUAAUAUUACUACUCUGCACUCACUUUUAGCUCUGGUCUGUAAUAAAAUAACUCAACCUUGCUUUUGAAAUAAAUGUAAGUUAUGUAAUUCGCUUCCGCAUUUCUUUAUCUCCGAUGUUCUGUAAUGUCUGCAAGACGGGUGAGACGUUCCUGGUAAGGUAAGGAAAGAUACCGAGCUUGUCAAGUGACUUAGGAACAUCUACAGGGUGUCUGAUGUCUGUUAGACAAGGACAACUGUAGGUGGGCCUAAUUACUUGGGAGGUUCUGUCACAGCUGGUAUCAGAGCGUAGCCCUUCUUUGCAGAUAUUAUGAGGCAUCUUCAAAAGGAUUUUCAAAAGUCUUACCUAAAAACUCUUUUCUCUUCUUACCUAAGUAUUCUGAAGAGUCUAUCUUAAAGACCAGAUAGGAAGAGUGCAACAUAUAGAAGGUUGAAUCGACUAAGGUUGAUUCUGUAAUUAUGCAUGCAUCAUGCUAAGCACUAUACUAAUAACAUUUUCCCCCUUAGAAAAGAUGCCGCCACGCACCAGGCUAACGGCACGCAAGUCUACGGGACCAAUUGGGGUGCCUCGGCAUCAAUUGGCUCCCCGACAUGAAAGCAACAGCAGUGGAAGUAAUGACCCCAUCGGAGAUCUUGAAGCCCGUGUGAGUCGACUUCAAACAGCGCUGCAACACAGGACCGAUGCUUGGGUCGCCGAUGGAGAUAGAAUCAAUGAACUGAGAAGGGACAUCCGACAUCUGCAGGAUCAGCUCGCUGAUCGAGACUUAGCACUUGACUGGGCUGUACAGUCUCGUUUGCUAAUGUGUGCUAAGGAAGCAAGGGCUCAGGCCCAAAUUAAAGAACUUAGCUCAACAGUUGAUAACCUGCAGGUUUACUGCAAUACGUUGCAUGAGGAAGUCCAUAUACUAUACUCACAAUUACACCCAAGUGAGCCUGCACAACCUGCUGAGGCGGAAGCCGGACCAUCUCACGUUGCGGGACGUGCGCUGGGUGGGGAGUUAGACCUUUUUGAGCCCCCUCCUUCCUUGAGGUUGGUUGAUGUCUGGACUCCCACACCUGACGAUGAGGACGCCAAGAGUAAGGGAAAGCAGGAAUAAUGGUGUAAUAGAAGUAAAAGUAGAGUAGUGUAUUGUAGGGAGUGCUGUUGUAUAAUAGGUUGAACUUUUGUAUAAUGGGUAAUGUAUCCUGUUAUGUAAUAUCGAGUCUGUAUCAUUACUUUUUAUAGUAAUGUAAAAUGGAAGGUUUUCUCUGGCACAUUAUGUUUACUCCAAAUGUUUUUGCCAUAGAUGCCGACCAGGACUCGAGGACAGGACGCAGCCGGAACUUCUGGGGGCAGGGAUGUUACCCCAAACCCACCUCCGGUUCCUCCCACGUUAGCCGAGGCGAUUGCCGCCUUGGUGAAUGCCACCGCAGACAAUACCCGCUUCCUUAGGGAAAUGGCGGGUCAGCAGCAAUUCCAGCAGCAGGCGGGAAGAGGUUUUCCGCAAGGCCCCCGUGAGACCACCUAUCUGGACUUCUCUGAAACCCGUCCACCCCUAUUCGUCAAGGCAGAAGAUCCCCUAGAAGCUGAUGAGUGGAUUCGGGUUAUUGAACAAAAGUUUGGUCUUCUCCGUUGCUCAGAGAUGCAGAAGCCGUUGUUUGCAGCACAACAACUCCGUGGUCCUGCCAGUACCUGGUGGGGAAAUUUCGUGGCUAUUCAACCUGUCAACCAUCAAGUCACCUGGGAUGAGUUUAAAGCAGCCUUCCGUGAACACUACAUACCCGAAGGAGUGCUGCAUAUGAAACAAGAGGAAUUUAUGAAGUUGCAACAAGGUGGAGAUACCGUCACUCAAUAUCUCAACAAAUUCAAUCACCUGUCGCAGUAUGCCAUCGACCAGGUGAAUACGGAUUUAAAGAAGAAGAACUGUUUUAUGCGGGGACUGAAUGAUCGGCUACAAAGGAAAAUGGCCACAUGCAUAGAUCUCACGUAUGGAAAGGCUGUCAGCACAGCCUUAUCUGUUGAAGCAAAAUACACAAAUUCUGGGAAGAAUAAGGGAUUUGGUGGUGAGAGGCCUAAUCAGGGCCAGGCGAAGAAGCAACGGUUUGUGGUCCGACCUUCAAACCAAAAUCGCACUUUUUCUUGUCCACCCUCGUUUCCCUUCAAACAGCCAAUCAUUAUCCGCCCCAACAAUACCCCCACUACCCCAAAACAGCCGGGUGCCCCAGGCACUCGAUUCCCUGCCUUGCCUAGUUCUUCAACUGGGUGUUUUAAUUGCGGCAAGUCGGGACAUUUUAUCAAAGACUACCCAUAUCGUAGGCAAAAUCAAUCUAAUGCUUCACAAGGAUCUGGGAAAUCAGCUCAGCCUAAAGGAAAUGCUAUGGGGAAGAAUACGAAGAAAACGGGGCGUGUAUAUUACACUCAAGUGGCUACUACACCGGAAGGAGAACCGGUGAUGAUGGGUACGUUUCCCGUGGCCAGUCACCCAGCAAUUAUUCUUUUUGAUUCUGGUGCUUCACAUACAUUCAUUAGCAAGAAGUUUGUGGAACAACAUCAUAUUGCAUACCAUGAAUCAAAGGAGGGAUUUAAAAUUCAUUCACCUGGGGGACACAUUUAUACUAGAGAAGUGGCCUAUGGAGUGCCAGUAACAAUGGCCGGACGGAACUUUCCUGCUAACAUGAUUGUUCUGAAGGGCCAGGAUAUAGAUGUAAUUUUGGGUAUGAAUUGGUUAACCCAACACAAGGCAAUUCUCAACACUGAACUCAGAACCGUCAGGUUGAGCUAUAACCAAGAAGAUAUUCUUUUGACUGUCCCCGCAACCAAUCCAGCCAAAACUUCUGGUAGAGUCUAUGAAGCCAUUGUACCGGAGAUCAAGAACAUUCCGGUAGUAUGUGAGUUUCCAGAUGUAUUUCCGGAAGAUUUGCCUGGACUGCCCCCUAAAAGAGAUGUAGAAUUCGUAAUUGAGCUAAAGCCCGGUACGGCUCCCAUCUCCCGAAGAUCGUACCGUAUGCCCCCUAAUGAGUUGGCGAAAUUAAAGAUUCAAUUACAAGAUCUAUUGAAUAAGGGAUUCAUCCGGCCAAGCUCGUCCCCAUGGGGUUGUCCCGCCAUUUUUGUUAAGAAGAAGGAUCAAACUUUGAGAAUGUGCGUGGAUUAUCGACCCCUAAAUGAGGUCACCAUCAAGAAUAAAUACCCUCUUCCAAGGAUCGACAUCUUAUUUGAUCAGCUAACUGGGGCGAGGGUAUUUUCUAAAAUUGAUCUCAGGUCGGGCUAUCAUCAAAUCCGUAUUCGACCCGAGGAUAUACCGAAGACCGCGUUUACUACGCGGUAUGGAUUGUUUGAAUACUUGGUAAUGUCUUUCGGGCUCACAAAUGCUCCUGCCCAUUUCACUUAUUUGAUGAACUCGGUGUUCAUGCCCGAAUUGGACAAGUUCGUGGUAGUCUUCAUCGACGAUAUCUUGAUAUAUUCUAAGAAUGAAGAGGACCAUGCUCAGCAUCUACGGAUUGUAUUGACGCGCCUGAGGGAACACCAGCUAUAUGCCAAGUUCAGCAAGUGCGCGUUCUGGCUGGAAGAAAUUCAAUUUUUGGGGCACGUGUUGUCGGCUAAAGGAAUUGCGGUAGAUCCUAGCAAGGUCAAAGAUAUUCUAGAGUGGAAACCCCCAACAACUGUUCACCAAGUCCGGAGUUUUCUUGGACUAGCUGGGUAUUAUCGCAGAUUCAUACCAGAUUUUUCUAAGCUUGUGAAGCCAAUCACAAGUUUACUGAAGAAUGACAUUAAGUUCAAUUGGUCUUCUAAGUGUAAUGAAGCCUUUGAGCAACUGAAGGCAUUAUUGACCACUGCUCCGGUAUUGGCUCAACCGGACAUCACUAAGCCUUUUGACGUAUAUUGUGAUGCAUCUGGCAGUGGGCUCGGCUGUGUACUGAUGCAAGAGGGCCGAGUAAUUGCGUAUGCUUCAAGGCAGUUGCGCCGACAUGAGGAGCAUUAUCCAACUCAUGAUCUGGAGCUAGCUGUUGUGGUUCAUGCCCUAAAGAUUUGGCAUCACUAUCUGCUGGGAAAUAUCUGUCACAUAUAUACAGAUCAUAAAAGUUUGAAGUACAUCUUCACCCAGUCAGAGUUAAAUAUGAGGCAAAGACGAUGGCUUGAGCUCAUUAAAGACUAUGAACUGGAGAUCCAUUAUCACCCAGGCAAAGCCAAUGUGGUAGCAGAUGCGCUGAGUCGUAAGACCUCCUGCCACUGUCUUAUGGCGAAGACCUCCGAGAACACUUUGUGCCAAGAAAUGGAGAAGCUAAACCUGGGGAUCAUCCAACAAGGGACUCUAAAUCAACUAAAGCUUGAGUCAAUCAUUUUGCAAAGGAUAAUUGAUGCUCAAAAGGAUAAUCUAGGUAUGAAGCACAUUCGAGAGAAGAUAAAGGCUGGAGUAGCCAAGUGUUUCAAGGAGGACGAUCAAGGUGUGAUAUGGUUUAAAAACCGCAUAGUAGUGCCAAAGAACGAAGAGCUCCGCCAGCAAAUUCUUGAUGAGGCACAUCUUAGUCGCUAUUCAAUUCAUCCCGGAAGCACUAAGAUGUAUCAAGACUUAAAGCAACAUUAUUGGUGGACGAAGAUGAAAAUUGAAAUUGCACGCUAUGUGGCUAAGUGCGACACUUGCAGACGUGUCAAGGCCAUACACAUGAAAACUGCUGGUCCAUUACAAUCUUUGCCAAUCCCAACAUGGAAAUGGGAAGACAUCAGUAUGGACUUUAUUGUGGGACUACCCAGGACAACCAAAGGGUAUGAUUCUAUUUGGGUUAUCGUUGAUCGACUCACAAAGGUUGCCCACUUCUUACCUGUCAGGGUCACAUAUACAGUAGCCACUUAUGCAGCAUUAUACAUUGCCCGUAUUCUCAGUCUGCAUGGUAUUCCGAAGACCAUUGUGUCGGAUCGUGGACCUCAAUUUGUAGCCAAGUUCUGGGAAGCACUUCACAACUCCUUGGGUACUAAAUUACUCCACAGUUCGGCUUAUCAUCCUCAAACCAGUGGGCAGACUGAGAGAGUGAACCAAAUACUUGAAGAUAUGCUGCGGGCAUGUGUCCUGGACUUCUCACCAAAAUGGGAUGAAUGUUUGCCCCUAGCGGAGUUUUCAUACAAUAACAGUUAUCAAGAAAGUAUCAAAAUGGCACCUUUUGAAGCUUUAUAUGGGCGACGAUGUCGAACUCCGCUAAAUUGGUCUGAACCUGGAGAAAGAUAUUUCUUUAGGCCUGAUAUGGUGAAAGAGGUCGAAGAAAAGGUUCAGAGAAUUAUUCAUAAUAUGAAGAAAGCUCAGACUCGACAAAAGAGUUAUGCAGACCGACGACGACAACCCUUAUGCUUUCUGGUAGGCGAUUAUGUCUACUUAAAAGUUUCACCAAUGAAGGGUGUAUCGCGUUUCGGGGUUAAAGGGAAACUUGCACCCAGGUACAUUGGUCCAUUCCGGGUGCUUGGGCAAUGUGGACCAGUGGCAUACCGACUUCAACUCCCCGAAACAUUGUCUGCUGUGCAUAAUGUGUUCCACGUGUCACAAUUGAAGAAGUGUCUUCGGAUUCCUGAUCGAACCGUUGAAGUGACUGAUGUUGUCCUGGAACCAGAUUUAACAUACUCGGAACAUCCUAUUCGAGUUCUGGAUCAAAAGGACAGGAUCACCCGAAGAAGGACUCUCAAGUUUUAUAAGAUACAGUGGAACCAGCAUUCUGAAGAUGAGGCUACAUGGGAAACCCAAGACUUCUUGAAUAAGAAUUUCCCAGGCUUUCUAGCCUCAUGUAAAUUGUAAAGCCUGUAUAGCUGUUGUAAUAAAGAAGUAACCCCCACAUCACCCCUGCCUUGUACCAAAAUUAAGGAAAUAAAAAUGUGAUGUGUUUCCUUUACCAUUACCUACCCUAGGAUUUUUAAUCUCGGGACGAGAUUCUUUUAUGGGGGGAAGGAUGUAACACCCCUGGUGUUACUAUAACUAAAACAUGAGCAUGACAUCAUAGCAUUGGCAUUGCAUAUGUUUGACACACCUAGAGUGCAUUCACUAGGCAAAAAUUUCAAACAAGUUGUAUUGUUUUAAUGUUUUGCAAAUAGGACCCUGGAUAGGAAGCUUUAACCCUAAACAGUGGUUAAAGGGGUAAAACUUAACCCAAGUUAAGAAAACCUAAAGACUUUAGGGUAAAAGUCAUAAAAUGACCCCAAGAAUAAACUUGAAUCACAUUUAUACCCCUAAGGUACCAAAAACCCUAAUUGGAACCCUGGAAAAAUCCUGAAACCAAACCCUAGGGGUCUAUGUGCAAAAAAUGUGCACAGGUGUGAAAACAACUAUGUUAAAGCAUGUUAAGUCAUAUGGUUCACAAAAUUAGGGAUUUGCAAGUGAAACCCUAAGUUUUGGGUUUAUUUGCAAAAAGUACCACUUGACCUCUAUAUAGCCUAAGUCUGAAAUCAGUGUUGUGAGCACAACUUUGAGCCCUUGUAACUUUCAAAUUAAUGAAAAUAUGCCCUAGGUCACCACAUAAAACUUAUAGACCAAACAAAGGAGAACAAUUUUUCUUAUGAGUGUAAGCAAGGUUGCUAUGAAGAAUUUGGAGAUAAUCCCACUUAAAGUCGGGCUGUCUGGCUGACUGAUAACUGAAACUUGGUCUGACAGUGGGGUGGGUCAAUCUUUGAACCCAGAUUUAAACAUGAUCCAGUGCAAGUUUGGGCAUGGUUCCCAUAACAAAAUUGUAGCUGGAACAUGGGGCUAUAACUUUGGUACAGAAGGUUGAUGAAUUUCUCAUGCAAAAUCUGGAGAAAAUCUGGCCCCAAAUCGCUCUGUCAGACUCAUUGAUUCUACUGAAACCGAGCACUGUUCACCGGCCUUCAGAAAUAUCGCGCCGUGGAUAUGGUCAGCCCCUCGCCGGCGAUAAGAACGCCACCGCAGCGGAUGGUCGUCGGCGGCUGCGGUAAAAAUCUGGUGCGACGUGGCCUCAAAGCAUUGAGGUGGUGCUACCCGGUUAAACGGCGGCCACCGAACUUGCGCCGUGGCUCUGCCGUGCGGGUGAAGCUCGCCAGCACGAUUACAGCCGGUGAAGCUCAUCCGAUUGCGGCCGGUUGGCUAUAAAUUGAGGGCGAGCGUUGCUUCUUCACCGUAUUCCACCUCUCAGCCACUAAGCGCCCGACUCAGGAUCACCGGAAAACCCAUGUAUCCUCCAAAUCCCUCGCUCCCUUGUUCUUAACUCCGCCGUGAAGAACAUCUCCGUGGCCAGCCUUCCUCGAGUGAGUACUUACCCAAUUGUUUCAUGUUCUUGCUUGCUAUUAGCCCCCUAUUGCUCCCAGUACCAACCAAUCGAACUUAAGCCAAAAGCUUUCACCGGAACGUGUGCUUGCUCUGAAGAACACCGCCGUGACCCCCUCACCGUCGACCCACUCCUCGGGCCUUGUUCUGCCCAAACCAAAAUGUGUCCGUAGACCCUGGUGAACCCGUGAAGCUUUGCCCAGCCCCAAUUUGGCCAUCCUCAUCUCUGUUUGAUCGGAACACGUUCAUCCCCUUGCCCAUCCGCUCGGACACCAUGAAUUGAUUGAUCCAAUGCCCCCUUGGUGAAAUUAAUGGAGGGGAAAUGCUCGGGCUUGGUUCAAUUUGAUGUCCGCCGCUCGGGAACCCUAGCCGUUGCCCUAAUCGGCCGGCGUAGGGGCUCGCCGGAGCUCGGCUAGGCGUGAGCGCAGUCGGGGACUAGGUGUGGUAAAAGAUUAGAACGCGAAGGGUCUUUCUGCAAAUGUCAGCGACUCGCCGAAAUAGUGCUCUGACCCCGCUUUAAGUUAUUCUGUUUGUCAGGGCCUUUUCUGCAAAACCCGCAGCGCGGGCGCGCGCUGGCGCGUUUCUGCGCUAGUUGGGCCGACUUGGGCUGAUUUCGGCCCGCGUCUAUUUAUUGUUUUUCUUUUUCUAUUUCUAGCGGGCUUCGGAAAUCUGUCAUAAAUUAUAGAAAAAAUCCUAAAAAUAUGAGACCAAUUUUCUUAGAACCCUAAUUUCCUGUAGUAUUUAAUAAAAAUGAACUCAUGAUUUUUAGAUUAAAUAAGGAAUUUUGGGUAUUUAAAGUAGCUUAAAACAUUAGUUUUGGAUUUUUAGAAAAUAAAUGGUAAUUCUAAAAAUGCCCAAACUUUUUAUGGGAACUUAAAACAUUAUUUAGAAGCCUUGGGUAGAGUUUGAAUUGUUUUGGACCUUGUUUGAUCACCAAACCCAAAACCACCCCCUGCCCUAUGAACUCCUUUACCGACUCCGGAAACCCUAAGUCCCCGGAACUCCGUGAAGGAAAGUUGUAUUCAAGACAUAAAUAAUAAGUUUAUACUAUCUUUGCAUCCUCAUGAGCAUCCCAUGGCAUCCAUUCUUAUACCUAUGUAUGGUUAUGAUUAGAACGUGAAGAGGAAAUCGAAGUAACUGAAGAGGAGACACCACCACCACCUUCGGAGUCUCAGGCUGGGAAUCAUUUCUACUUUGAUAUCUGUGGAUCUGAGCCUGAUUCACCUGUGAACGAAGGCAAGCCCCGGUGCAUGCAACCCCUUUCCUUGUGUUUUUAAAUACUUUUCGCACACUUAAGUCUAGUGAAAUGUGCAUUAAGUUCAUAGGAGUUACUUGAAACCCUUUGAUGCAUUGCUUUUCCUUGAUAUCCAUACCUUUAUAGAUACUCCUGUGAAGUAUCAAAAUUAUGAUUUACAAAAAUGCUUAGCCUUGCUUAGAUCUUGUGGAUAGAGGUUGUCCUCAAUUUAACCAUGGGGAGGAUGGCUUCUACCUGCAAGAAUAUUUUCAUUUGGAGCAAUAGUGGGAUCUUACUGCAAAGUUCCCUGUGAUGCUCUUUCAUCCUAAGGAACAGACACAAUCCUCAGGAUGGGAAUACUUAAAUUGAGACUUGGGUUAGGAACAGGUGAUGUUCUACCCAGGUUGGUUAAGGAUUAACGCGUAUGUAGGCGUGCUGACCGAGGACCCUUUAACUGGUCACAUGCCUCGUCAUGGGUAAGCCUUGCCUCGGGCAGACUAAGGCCGGAAUAAGAUAACACGAAAUGGGCGUGGAGCGAUGGCGAGAGUAGCGUGUACCCUCCGUGGCAAGAGGCUGGACGGUGGUGUAUCCGUGCUCUCGGUUUGCGUGAACCUGAUCCGGUCUUAAGAACCCCGGUGGCGGGUUGACAUAUGCAAGGGUUAAGUGCUACAUAUGUCGUGUGAUUGGAGAUCCUCAGCUGAGUAUAAUCGAUUCGGAUCGCCGUACCUUCGCGGUUAUGAAGACUUGGUCACUUUUCUACAACGUAAGUCAGGAUGUGAACACGAUGGAUAAAAAAAUGAUGUGUCUUGAUGUGAUGUGAAAUUAGACUAGAUGCAAAUAGAGUCUAUUAAUACUUAAUAUGGCGUUAAAAGAUUGAAAGUAAGGACUCACUUUAGUAAGCUACUUCUGCAAAAGUAUAAGUUGAUUUUGCUAAAGCCUCUCCUUGACUCCUAUUUAUCUAGCAUACCCUUGAGAGUCUUUUCCUUAGUCGGGUAAGACUUGCUGAGUAUUCCAUACUCAGGGUUUAUCCCUUUGUUGUUUUUAGGUGAGGAAGCGACAAACUUUUGUUGCUUUUGCUCCAAGGUGGUACCAAACGAGGAAAAACAAGACUGAAGUGCGGGAGGACUCGGUCCUCCACUUAGGUUCUUUUGCUUAUAGCUUAUCGGGAGGAGUUUGUGCCUCCCAUGGUUUGUAUAAUAUUACUACUCUGCACUCACUUUUAGCUCUGGUCUGUAAUAAAAUAACUCAACCUUGCUUUUGAAAUAAAUGUAAGUU
Molecule: long non-coding RNA, 9868 nt
Filed under: Zea mays
Lineage: Eukaryota; Viridiplantae; Streptophyta; Magnoliopsida; Poales; Poaceae
Description: long non-coding RNA (ZMAY_LNC000791)
Source: RNAcentral